RNAcentral lists this ribosomal RNA (954 nucleotides) under uncultured archaeon. RNAcentral's name for it is "bacterial SSU rRNA". It matches the Rfam family "Archaeal small subunit ribosomal RNA", at positions 39 to 999 of the family's 1478-position model. The record is from RNAcentral.
AGAUUUUAAGCCAUGCGAGUCAUUGUAGCAAUACAAGGCAGACGGCUCAGUAACGCGUAGUCAAUCUACCCUAUGGACGGGAAUAAUCUCGGGAAACUGAGAAUAAUGCCCGAUAGAACAUUAUGCCUGGAAUGGUUUAUGUUUCAAAUGAUUUAUCGCCAUAGGAUGGGACUGCGGCCUAUCAGUUUGUUGGUGAGGUAAUGGCCCACCAAGACUAUUACAGGUACGGGCUCUGAGAGGAGUGGCCCGGAGAUGGGUACUGAGACACGGACCCAGGCCCUAUGGGGCGCAGCAGGCGAGAAAACUUUGCAAUGUGCGAAAGCACGACAAGGUUAAUCCGAGUGGUUUCUGCUAAAGAAACCUUUUGUCAGUCCUAGAAACACUGACGAAUAAGGGGUGGGCAAGUUCUGGUGUCAGCCGCCGCGGUAAAACCAGCACCUCAAGUGGUCAGGAUGAUUAUUGGGCCUAAAGCAUCCGUAGCUCGUUUUGUAAGUUUUCGGUUAAAUCCAUGCGCUUAACGUAUGGGCUGCCGGGAAUACUGCAUAACUAGGAAGUGGGAGAGGUAGACGGUACUCGGUAGGAAGGGGUAAAAUCCUUUGAUCUAUUGAUGACCACCUGUGGCGAAGGCGGUCUACCAGAACACGUUCGACGGUGAGGGAUGAAAGCUGGGGGAGCAAACCGGAUUAGAUACCCGGGUAGUCCCAGCUGUAAACUAUGCAAACUCAGUGAUGCAUUGGCUUGUGGCCAAUGCAGUGCUGCAGGGAAGCCGUUAAGUUUGCCGCCUGGGAAGUACGUACGCAAGUAUGAAACUUAAAGGAAUUGGCGGGGGAGCACCACAAGGGGUGAAGCCUGCGGUUCAAUUGGAGUCAACGCCAGAAAUCUUACCCGGAGAGACAGCAGAAUGAAGGUCAAGCUGAAGACUUUACCAGACAAGCUGAGAGGUGGUGCAUGGCC